Molecule: long non-coding RNA, 321 nt
Organism: Photinus pyralis (common eastern firefly)
Lineage: Eukaryota; Metazoa; Arthropoda; Insecta; Coleoptera; Lampyridae
Exons: 2
Source: RefSeq, a predicted model, not a curated record
CGUGGGUAACGUUUGAAUUUCAAGCAAGUUUAACAUUGACAACCUUGUUGACAACCUAAAAUUUAAAAAUGAAGUUCCUUGUUUUGGCUUUUCUGAUAGUGCUGGUGGCUUUCCAAGUAGCGUACUGCGAAGAAAAGAUUUGCGCUUGCAUAGUUAAUAAUCAACCAUGCCCCAAGGACACUACACCCAAGGGAAAAUGUGGCGUUAACGGAAAGCCUGGCAUCAAUUGCUGUUAAUUGGAAGAUUACAAUAUGACACCAUUCAUACUACACAAAUUUUAAUGUGAUUAAAUUAGUCUAUUCAAUAAAAAAUUUUAAGUCA